GCACUCGCUUUGGCAGCACAUAUACUAAAAUGGGAAUGAGUCAGAGAAGAUUAGCACGGCCCCUGCACAAGGAUGAUACGCAAAUUCAUGGAACGUUCCAUAUUUUU
Molecule: small nuclear RNA, 107 nt
Organism: Octodon degus (degu)
Lineage: Eukaryota; Metazoa; Chordata; Mammalia; Rodentia; Octodontidae
Source: Ensembl